CCUACGGGAGGCUGCAGUGGGGAAUAUUGGACAAUGGGGGCAACCCUGAUCCAGCCAUGCCGCGUGUGUGAAGAAGGCCCUCGGGUUGUAAAGCACUUUCAGUGAGGAAGAACGCCUGGUGGUUAAUACCCAUCAGGAAAGACAUCACUCACAGAAGAAGCACCGGCUAACUCCGUGCCAGCAGCCGCGGUAAUACGGAGGGUGCGAGCGUUAAUCGGAAUUACUGGGCGUAAAGCGCGCGUAGGUGGCUUGAUAAGCCGGUUGUGAAAGCCCCGGGCUCAACCUGGGAAUGGCAUCCGGAACUGUCAAGCUAGAGUGCAGGAGAGGAAGGUAGAAUUCCCGGUGUAGCGGUGAAAUGCGUAGAGAUCGGGAGGAAUACCAGUGGCGAAGGCGGCCUUCUGGACUGACACUGACACUGAGGUGCGAAAGCGUGGGUAGCAAACAGGAUUAGAUACCCGUGUAGUC
This 465-nucleotide ribosomal RNA is filed under the name Vreelandella stevensii. Its description in RNAcentral is "partial 16S ribosomal RNA". It matches the Rfam family "Bacterial small subunit ribosomal RNA", at positions 338 to 795 of the family's 1533-position model. The record is from RNAcentral. Lineage: Bacteria; Pseudomonadati; Pseudomonadota; Gammaproteobacteria; Oceanospirillales; Halomonadaceae.